AAUAGCUUUCAACUGGUUGGGGAUAUUUGGGUGGAGGAGGGAAUCAAGUUGGGUAUUUUCAUCUAAUAUUUACUUAAAUGUUAUUUUCACCAAAGAGCUAUCUUUUAUACUGCCUUUCUUUAAAGAACCGGGUAACUUCACAUCCUCUUUUGAUGGUGAAAUACCUUUAAGGCAGGAAAGUAUUGGUAAUUUACGGAUGGCUUGUUCAAUGACUGAACAAUUAAUUUCGGGAGGGAUGCUGCACCAAAACUCUGUUCUGAUAACAGGUAGUGAGUGAGUCUUGGCAUUUGUCUGGCUCCCUAUUAUACUUUCCAGGACGCUGUCACAUACAUCCUCUUUGCCUUUUUCUCCACUUGGAGCCACUGUUUCCUUCAUGCCAUGUUCUACAGACAAGAUGCAUGUCACGCACCCCAAGGGGUGCAUUUUUUUCCCUGUGAAUUCCUAUAACCAAUCAGCAGCUGUCACAUGCCUUGAAGUUCAGCUUUAGGGACUUGUAGUGUUCAGUGGAGCAUUGAGAAGCAGGUUUUGUGCCAAAGAGCUCAUCCCCCCCCCCCCCAUUUAUUUGAGAUUUUGGCAUCAUUCUUCAUUUGUGAAAUGUUACCAGUCUGCUGACAUUUUAAUGCUCCUUUCAGGAGCAUCACCAGCUUUAGAAUAAUACUGUAUCUAUGUAUGUUAUGUUGAAACAAAAUAGGGAUACAAGAGGCAAUCUUCUCCAGUUGAGAACCUGCACACUACCUCGAACCUCUCUUAGAAGCAGAAUAUGUUCUUUCAUCCCUUCUGCUGGAUUGUAAGCUCCUUGAGUAUAGGAACUACUUUUGUUUUCCCCAUCCUCGUAUCCACCGCAGUGCCCUCCAUACCUUGUACAGUUGUUCAGCAGUAGUCAGUGAACAGAAUUAUGUACACAGAUUUGAACAUCUGGCUGCCAAGUAACACUGACUGUGAAUCCAGCCCUGAUCCAAGUGUUUGACUUUCAUGGGCUGGUUGGCUAAUUCCACCAAGCAUCCUCUUCUAGGAACUGUUUGAAUUAAGGUUCACUCACUUGCCUUUCUCACAUUCCUUCCUAUUUUGUCUAUGAUCCUGUCAGUUUGCAAAGUUGAGUAGGUUUUUCCUUUUCUCCUGGGAGCUUUGCUCAAUGCUUAUAUUUCCUUUGGAACAGGGGCUAUACCAUCUUAAAAGAGCUUGUCUGCAAACUCUAAUGAUAACCUGCAAGGCACAUCAAAACACUGUGCUUUGAGGUAAUCUGCAUUUCAACUGAGCUUUUCUCAGUGGCACUGUCAGCAAUGUUAAAACCCUGGCAGGUUUUAUCAAUGUAAAUAUCGUGUGUUUUCUUUUUCUAGUAGAGAUUCACUUUUUAUUUUCCCCUGCUUUGUUGUAGACUCUCAUAAGAGAAUUCAUGGUCUUCCAAACUGUUUCAUCUCUUAUAGUCUGUCCUGGUAUUAUUUUCAUAAUUUGCCACCAAAAUAAUUAUUCUGUUUUAGGAUUUAGAUCAAAGGAAAGUGUCAUAUUCUGUAUUGUAUUUUAUUGCUGAAGGAGCAGGUUAUUGGCAAAAUAAUUUUACUGUAUUGGGUGUGUACAUCUAAGAAUCUUAAGCGUGGCUAAUGAGUCAGGGCUCUUAUAGGAUUCUUAAUUAUGUUUCGUUUUUUUUAGUAGCCACUACAAGUUGUUUGCUAAUAUUAAUACUUGCUCAAAACAAGCCAACACAUGAUAGUCUUUGCCUAAAAAUCUCUUUGAAGAGAACAUAAAAGUGAGAUAGUGUUCUUGAGAGGUUUUUUUUUUCAGCACUAAUCCUCCCUAAGACUCUUAAAAUUUAUUCCCAACUCUCCAUAAUUCGUUUGUUCUGUUCUAACCUGACAUAAUUUCUACUCUUAUAAUGUUAAACUUAAAAGUUCACUUGUAAAUCUUUAGAUUUAUGAAAUGUUCUUUCCCAUUGACAAACCAGUUUGAAUGAAGGAAGCUUUUGAAAGAUUACUUAGCAAAUUGCCCUAAGUCUUUGUCGUUAAUGGCUAGAUCAUUAUUUCUCACAGCAGGGCUUUGGAGACCAGGAGAGUUUGCUAGCGCUCUGAAGUUCUCUGUCCAUCCCUUCUAACCUUAGACAUUGUGGGAGGGAUGGAGGACAGUCUCUCUGAUUGAACAAACUGCCCAUCUGUCUGACUUCAGGAGAAAUUUUACUUGUCUACCGUCUUGUCCCGUGGUCUUUAAAUUGAGAGCUGUACAUUUAACUGUCUUUUUUCUAGCUUUUGUAUCAUGGGAGUAAUGAAAAACAAUCAAGUGGUUCAUAAAUACUGGUUAACUUUUGACUCAGGAAAUUGAGACGUGGAGACUGGGAAACCUGGCAGACGUCACAGAGCUGCUAGUGAUCCAAGCUUCAGCUCAGGCCUUCUGACUCGGAGUGCUCUUCUGUGUUCACAUGCAUGCUUCCCAGAUCGUAAAUUGCAGCUCACUUUAACUUUAGAAAUGGUCCACUCAAUAAAGUUUUGAAUGAAGCAA
Long non-coding RNA from Myotis brandtii (Brandt's bat), 2487 nucleotides. RefSeq lists it as uncharacterized. The transcript has 2 exons. The record is from RefSeq and is a predicted model, not a curated record. Lineage: Eukaryota; Metazoa; Chordata; Mammalia; Chiroptera; Vespertilionidae.